ACGUGGCCAGUACAGGGGCCGGCACCAGGGGGUUAUCGAAGCAGCUGUCACGAUGCUGGGGUACCUGGUGUCGAGGAGAACAGCGCCGGCGCCGCGGCUGCUCCUCCAGCUGCUUAGGUCCCCAUCGCUCCGGAGCCGUGGGAGUGCCACCGACCGGAGUGUGACCACCGGGGGACGCGGGGAGCCUCAGUGGCUGAGGGCAGCCAUCGGGGGGCGCCCUGGAACAUCGCCGGCCUUACUCACAAGAGAAGGGACAGCCACUGGGGGGCGCCAGAGGGGAGGUACCGAGACCCCCUGCCUCGCAGCCGCCACGUGGGGACGCCUUCCUAGCCCCGAAGACACUCUGCCUGGACAGGACAGCUGGAACGGGGCCCUCAACAGGGCCGGAAUGGGCGUGUGGGCGCUGGCAACGGUGCUGGUGGUACACUGUUACAGCAAGAGCCCGUCCAACAAGGAUGCAGCCCUGGUGGAAGCUGUUCGAGCCAACAAUGUCCAAGAAGUCAACAGGCUGUUGUCGGAAGGUGCUGAUGUCAAUGCAAGGCACAAACUUGGCUGGACAGCACUCAUGGUGGCAGCCAUCAACCGAAACGACAGUGUGGUGCAGGUCCUGCUUGCAGCUGGUGCUGACCCAAACCUCGGGGAUGAUUUCAGCAGUGUUUACAAGACUGCCAAGGAGCAGGGAAUCCAUUCUUUAGAAGAUGGGGGACAGGAUGAUGCAAGCUGGUACAUCACAAACCAGUGGACAAGUGCCCUGGAGUUCAGGAGACGGCUAGGAGUCCCCGCCAGCGUCCUGGUCACCCGAGAGGAUGACUUCAACAACCGGCUGAACAACCGUGCCAGCUUCAAGGGCUGCACAGCCCUGCACUAUGCUGUCCUUGCCGACGACUACCGCACCGUCAGGGAGCUGCUUGGUGGAGGAGCUAACCCCCUGCAGAGGAAUGAAAUGGGACACACACCCUUGGAUUAUGCUCGAGAAGGGGAGGUGAUGAAGCUCUUAAGGACUUCUGAGGCCAAGUACCAAGAGAAGCAGCGGAAACGUGAGGCCGAGGAACGGCGCCGCUUUCCCCUGGAGCAGCGGCUGAAGGAGCACAUCAUUGGCCAGGAGAGUGCCAUCGCCACAGUAGGUGCUGCGAUCCGGAGGAAGGAGAAUGGCUGGUACGACGAAGAACACCCUCUGGUCUUCCUCUUCCUGGGAUCAUCUGGAAUAGGAAAAACAGAACUGGCCAAGCAGACAGCCAAAUAUAUGCACAAAGAUGCCAAAAAGGGUUUCAUCAGGCUUGACAUGUCUGAGUUCCAGGAGCGGCAUGAGGUGGCCAAAUUUAUUGGGUCCCCACCAGGCUACAUCGGCCAUGAGGAGGGUGGCCAGCUGACCAAGAAGCUGAAGCAGUGCCCCAACGCUGUGGUGCUCUUCGAUGAGGUGGACAAAGCCCAUCCAGAUGUGCUCACCAUCAUGCUGCAGCUGUUUGAUGAGGGCCGGCUGACAGAUGGAAAAGGGAAGACCAUCGACUGCAAGGACGCCAUCUUCAUCAUGACCUCCAACGUGGGCAGUGACGAGAUAGCACAGCACGCGCUGCAGCUGAGGCAGGAAGCUUUGGAGAUGAGCCAUAAUCGGAUCGCCGAGAACCUUGGGGAUGUCCAGACUAGUGACAAGAUCACCAUCUCUAAGAACUUCAAGGAAAAUGUGAUUCGCCCCAUCCUAAAAGCUCACUUCAGGAGAGAUGAGUUUCUGGGACGAAUCAAUGAGAUCGUCUACUUCCUCCCCUUCUGCCACUCGGAGCUCAUCCAACUCGUCAACAAGGAGCUGAAUUUCUGGGCCAAGAGAGCCAAGCAAAGGCACAACAUCACACUGCUCUGGGACCGUGAGGUGGCAGACGUGUUGGUUGACGGCUACAACGUGCACUAUGGCGCCCGCUCCAUUAAGCAUGAGGUGGAGCGCCGUGUGGUAAACCAGCUGGCGGCCGCCUACGAGCAGGACCUGCUGCCAGGGGGCUGCACUCUGCGCAUCACUGUGGAGGACUCAGACAAGCAGCUACUCAAGAGUCCUGAACUGCCCUCACCCCAGGCUGAGAAGCGUCCACCCAAGCUGCGGCUGGAGAUCAUCGAUAAGGACAGCAAGACCCACAGAUUGGACAUCCAGGCACCACUAAACCCUGAGAAGGUGGCAGAGGCUCUAUUGUUUUGCUCUAUAAAGAAACCAUAUCUGGAACAACAGUACAAUUGGAGUCAUCACCUGUCUUAACCUUUCAAUAAUCCACUGUCAUUCUCCAAGGCUCUUCUGACUUCAUCAUGAGCCAGAGAGGUGAUUAGAACUCCCAGCUCUUAAAAUCGGCACAUGGAAUCCAGGCUCUCUGGUAAGUGCACUCAUAUUGGUCAUUUCAUUCUAAUUUUAAAUUAUGUUCCUCCUCCUUAGUCCUGAACCCUCAGAAUCCAUUCCCACAUAUAUUUGCCAAAUUUUAUUGAUAUAAAUUUGAAAAAUCUUUUAAUUCUUUUAGUGAGAAGGCCUUCUUGUGAAUUUGAGCUCCUAUUUGACCCUGAUGCAUGUUGGGGUCUGAUUUUGAUAAUGAGUAUGGAGACGAUUAAGUCAGUGGGAUGGGGCAUGAGGAGACUUGGCUUCCUCUUGCCACAUAAUUCCCCAUGGGAAGUCUACAUAUAGUCUUCACACCAGAGGGAAGCAACCCCAUUGGACAGGGAGAGGGUGCUAUAGUCUUUGGCUAUUUUCAGUGGUAGGUUGGGGUUGUAAGAGAGAUCACCAAUUGCCUGCUGUGGUAGACAGCUUCUGACAUGACUCCCAGAGAUCCCUGCCUCCUGAUGCUCAUGCCCUGUGUAAUCCCCUCUCCCUGGGUGUGAGCAGGGAGAGGGGAUAGUAACUUGCUUCUAAGGAAUAGAAAUGGCAAAAGUGACAGAAUGUCAUUUCCAAGGAUAGGUUAUAAAAGGCUGACUUCAGUCUUGCUGGCAUUCUCUCUGGCUCUUCCUACAUGCUUGCCCUGAUGGAGAGGCCCAUAGGCCAAGGGAAUGAGGGUAACCACUGGCAAACAUCUGAUAAGGACUGAGCCUUUCAGAGGAACUGAGUCCUGGAGGAACUGAGUCCUGGCAACAACCAUGUGAGUGAGCUUGGGGGAAAUCAUUCCUUAGUCAAGCCUUCAUUUGAGACUGCAGAACUAGCACCUCGAUUGCAUCCUUGGGCGAGGCCCUUGAAGCAGAAGACUCAGGUUAGCCACACCCAGAUUUCUUACCCACAGAAACUGUGACUUUAUAAGUAUGUGGUUUCUUUGGGGUUUUUUUGUUUU
This is an RNA transcript of Aethalodelphis obliquidens (Pacific white-sided dolphin), 3287 nucleotides long. It is a transcript of the gene named ClpB family mitochondrial disaggregase, with no coding region annotated. NCBI's taxonomy places the organism in Eukaryota, Metazoa, Chordata, Mammalia, Artiodactyla, Delphinidae. The record is from RefSeq and is a predicted model, not a curated record. The transcript has 19 exons.